UGGGGAAUAUUGGACAAUGGGCGCAAGCCUGAUCCAGCCAUGCCGCGUGAGUGAUGAAGGCCUUAGGGUUGUAAAGCUCUUUUGUCCGGGACGAUAAUGACGGUAUCGGAAGAAUAAGCCCCGGCUAACUUCGUGCCAGCAGCCGCGGUAAUACGAAGGGGGCUAGCGUUGCUCGGAAUCACUGGGCGUAAAGGGCGCGUAGGCGGCUAUUUAAGUCGGGGGUGAAAGCCUGUGGCUCAACCACAGAAUUGCCUUCGAUACUGGAUAGCUUGAGUAUGGUAGAGGUUGGUGGAACUGCGAGUGUAGAGGUGAAAUUCGUAGAUAUUCGCAAGAACACCGGUGGCGAAGGCGGCCAACUGGACCAUUACUGACGCUGAGUCGCGAAAGCGUGGGGAGCAAACAGG
Molecule: ribosomal RNA, 404 nt
Filed under: bacterium
Lineage: Bacteria
Description: partial 16S ribosomal RNA
Rfam family: Bacterial small subunit ribosomal RNA
Source: RNAcentral